UGGGCGCAAGCCUGAUCCAGCCAUACCGCGUGGGUGAAGAAGGCCUUCGGGUUGUAAAGCCCUUUUGUUGGGAAAGAAAUCCAGCCGGCUAAUACCUGGUUGGGAUGACGGUACCCAAAGAAUAAGCACCGGCUAACUUCGUGCCAGCAGCCGCGGUAAUACGAAGGGUGCAAGCGUUACUCGGAAUUACUGGGCGUAAAGCGUGCGUAGGUGGUUGUUUAAGUCUGUUGUGAAAGCCCUGGGCUCAACCUGGGAACUGCAGUGGAAACUGGACGACUAGAGUGUGGUAGAGGGUAGCGGAAUUCCCGGUGUAGCAGUGAAAUGCGUAGAGAUCGGGAGGAACAUCCAUGGCGAAGGCAGCUACCUGGACCAACACUGACACUGAGGCACGAAAGCGUGGGGAGCAAACAGGAUUAGAUACCCUGGUAGUCCACGCCCUAAACGAUGCGAACUGGAUGUUGGGUGCAAUUUGGCACGCAGUAUCGAAGCUAACGCGUUAAGUUCGCCCGCA
RNAcentral lists this ribosomal RNA (511 nucleotides) under Stenotrophomonas maltophilia. RNAcentral's name for it is "bacterial SSU rRNA". It matches the Rfam family "Bacterial small subunit ribosomal RNA", at positions 372 to 873 of the family's 1533-position model. Lineage: Bacteria; Pseudomonadati; Pseudomonadota; Gammaproteobacteria; Lysobacterales; Lysobacteraceae. The record is from RNAcentral.